UGGGGGAUAGCCCGCCGAAAGGCGGAUUAAUACCGCAUAAGCUAGUUGGCUCGGCAUCGGGUUAUUAGUAAAGAUUUAUUGGUUAUAGAUGGGGUUGCGGGUCAUUAGCUAGUUGGUAAGGUAACGGCUUACCAAGGCGACGAUGACUAGGGGAGCUGAGAGGCUGGUCCCCCACACGGGCACUGAGAUACGGGCCCGACUCCUACGGGAGGCAGCAGUAGGGAAUAUUGGGCAAUGGGCGAGAGCCUGACCCAGCCAUGCCGCGUGCAGGAAGAAGGCUUUCUGAGUCGUAAACUGCUUUUGACAGGGAAGAAUAAGGACUACGUGUAGUCUGAUGAC
This 339-nucleotide ribosomal RNA is filed under the name uncultured Hymenobacter sp. Its description in RNAcentral is "bacterial SSU rRNA". It matches the Rfam family "Bacterial small subunit ribosomal RNA", at positions 137 to 473 of the family's 1533-position model. Lineage: Bacteria; Pseudomonadati; Bacteroidota; Cytophagia; Cytophagales; Hymenobacteraceae. The record is from RNAcentral.